Molecule: ribosomal RNA, 541 nt
Filed under: uncultured bacterium
Lineage: Bacteria
Description: bacterial SSU rRNA
Rfam family: Bacterial small subunit ribosomal RNA
Source: RNAcentral
AAUAGAUACCCCGGUAGUCCACCCCGUAAACGUUGGGAACUAGUUGUGGGUCCAUUCCACGGAUUCCGUGACGCAGCUAACGCAUUAAGUUCCCCGCCUGGGGAGUACGGCCGCAAGGCUAAAACUCAAAGGAAUUGACGGGGACCCGCACAAGCGGCGGAGCAUGCGGAUUAAUUCGAUGCAACGCGAAGAACCUUACCAAGGCUUGACAUAUAGAGGAAACGGCUGGAAACAGUCGCCCGCAAGGUCUCUAUACAGGUGGUGCAUGGUUGUCGUCAGCUCGUGUCGUGAGAUGUUGGGUUAAGUCCCGCAACGAGCGCAACCCUCGUUCUAUGUUGCCAGCACGUAAUGGUGGGAACUCAUGGGAUACUGCCGGGGUCAACUCGGAGGAAGGUGGGGAUGACGUCAAAUCAUCAUGCCCCUUAUGUCUUGGGCUUCACGCAUGCUACAAUGGCCGGUACAAAGGGCUGCAAUACCGUAAGGUGGAGCGAAUCCCAAAAAGCCGGUCCCAGUUCGGAUUGAGGUCUGCAACUCGACCUCA